GGCUACAUAGGGUCCAGCUAAGGGGCCAGGAGUCCUCACUGAGACCCUAUCCAAGCUAAGUGUUCCCCGCAUCACGGAAUCUGGAUUUGUGUGAAGCGGGGUGAUUCCCGGGCCAGGAAUUCCUUCCAGCAGGUCCACUGUACCUUCGUCUCGCUUCAGGACCCCCCUUGGAUGCUCUGAGCCACCCUUCUCAACCCGGAUCUAAAACCUGGGACACGGCUAUCAGGCCAGCCUCUCUCUCCCUCCACCCCUCCCCCUCUUUCUGGCGUCCAUCCCCUCCCCAACACCACCUCUGCUGCUGCCUCUGGCUGUGGACCUGCACCUCUUCUCCAUCCUCACCAGGCCCGGAGAGUGGGGUUAGCCUGGAUGAGAGUGUGCCCCUAACCUGGGGCCCUCCCAGGCCAUGGCUCCUGUGUUCCCAGGGAGGAGUCCAGGACCCUGAGCAUCUGCUUGAAGCUUGGCAGAGGCCCCGCUGGGACCGUGUCUUCUGAGGACAAAAGGCUGCGGCCAGCAGGCAGACUGGGUGGGGGGUGGGGGGGGUGGGGGAACCGGUAGCUAGGCAGGCAGAACAGUGGCGGAGCCAGUGCUGGCCCCCUCCCAGACUGGCGGUGGCAUGAAGAUGGGGGUGGGAGUGUGUAGAGGGAGAAGCACCUACCAGGACCCCCACCUGCCCACUACUUGGGCAACCCAAAGCUGUGUGCUGCCCACCUGGUGUUCCCCAACAUCUCCAGCUCUACCAAGUGCACCCCUCUGGCACCUGCUUUCCUUGCUGCCAGCGAUUUAGACCAACCAGGCUGUAUCCACGGCAACAGAAACAAGAGUGUCACUGGCUGCCAGACCAGUGAGGGUCCCAUAAUGUGGCCUGGGCUGUGGUUUAUCCUGGAUGAGACAGAAUGAGCCUCCUUCCUGAAUUCCAAGACAGUCCUGCUAGGAGAACCCAGUCUCUACCUACAGGUAACAUACUUUUGCUCACUCACCCUGGAAGAUGUGUCCCAGCUAGUGGGAGGAAGCUGCUAUAGGAAUAGAGGAAGAUACCCAUAUUGUGUUUGGGACCUCCAGAUCUAUGACACAGUAGCCAGAGGUCCCUGUAUCUGGAGGUGCAGGAAAACCUGGUAUAUGGAGAACAUGGAUUCUACUAGGGACACGGCUCCUAACUACUAGCUCGCAACUUUAGUGGAGGCAUGUCACUUGUUGAACCUUGAUUUUUCCCAUUUGUCAAAGAGACUGGUAACCCUUUCUUCAUGGAUGUGUGCAGGGAUUAAAUAAAUUGGUGCAUGCAAACAAUUAAAUGUGUUUAUAGGAUGGUGCUGAGCAGUGCCAGAGUCAAUAUUAUUGCUGGCUGUUCAUGAUUAGUAUUGCUAUUGAUUAGGGGAAGGAUUAGCGCCUUUUCUCCAGGGUCUCAGCAGAGAUCUAAGGAAGCCAGCAGGUGGGAAAAUGGAAGGUAGCAAGUAGAGGGAAGCAGAACAGCUUUAUGUUAAUACUUCUCAUUUGUAAAGAAUGAUAGAUAGUUGUGGGCAGUCAUCCCUACCCUACUCGGGAUUCUUUCCAUGCACUUCACCUUAUUUGUGUACACACACACACACAGAGAGAGACAGACACACACACACACACACACACACACACACACACACACCACACACACACACACACACACACCAGACUGAGAGCCAGCAGAGGCCUGGCUUGCAGCCUGCAGAAUUCCUGGCCCUGGUAUGUGUCCCUCUGUUGAGGGGAAAUUAGCAAGAGUUUGGCUUAUGGUCAGUUCUUGGCAGGGACUGGAGACAAAGCUGAAGCUUUUGAGAUUAUAGGGCUUUGAGCGAGCUGGGGUGUGGUCCAUGCAGUGGCCAGACCUGUAGCAGAGUUUGCCCAUCUAGACCCUGGGGUGGGGAAAAUAAGGUUUCCUAACUGGUUUCUAGGUAUGGAGCGGUGGGAGAAUACCAAGGGCUUGGGAGUCAGCAGAGGAGCCAAAGGAGGGGAGAGAUUGGAAACAGAGGGACAGGGAGGGCUGGGACCUUUAGAGAUCAGAAUACUUUCCUGAAGAAGCAUUUGUUGUGGAAGGAGAGGAACUAGCCUGUUGCCCAGGGGCAUCUCGACCUGAAACUAAAAGUGUGUGUGUGUGUGUGUGUGUGUGUGUGUGUGUGUGUGUAUACACAUAUGUAUAUAUGAAGAUAAAUGACUGCAUGUCUACUCUGUGUGUACAUAUCUCAUCACUGCGCUGUAGGUGUAUAUGAGUUUAUGUGUGUGUGAACAGGCUAUAUGAUAGCAUAUGGGAUUGUGUGGGUGUCUGAAUUGGUUUGUGUUUGUACUGGAGGGCAUGGCUUUGCAUGUCUAUCUGGGUGAGCAAAUGGUCAUGUUUGAUUCUCACUCAAGUAUUGGCAUGUUUCUCUGAGCUUGUAUUAGGCCUAUUAAAUGUGUGUGUGUGUGUGUGUGUGUGUGUGUGUGUGUGUGUGUGUGUGUUACAUGUCCAAUUCAAUGAAUGCCUAGUUGAAUCUGAUUGUGUAUAUUCCUGUUUUGUCCACAUGUGCCUUUCAGUGUGCAUUCAUCCAAAUGAUUUGUGUGAGUACAAAAAUAGAUAUAUGUGUCCCAUGCAUAUAGGAACGUAUGUGUGUGUGAACAUGCUUAUAUGUGUUGUAGGUGUGUCUCUCAUAUAUUUGUGUGAACAAGCCUAUGUGUAAAAGUCUGUAUAGAUUCUUUAGUAUUUUUCAUUAUGUCUAUGCCUGCAUGUGCAUGCUUGAGUGGCUACUGUCUCUAAACAAGCCUAUGUGUUCAUAGCUAUUUAAAGAAAUGUAAGUAUAAAUAGACACACUGGAAUAAGAGAAGAGUAUAUGAAUGGAAAAUAUUUUAUGUGUGCACAGACUGUGGUGUUUAUAGCAGCUUGUAUUAUAUUCACCCACAAGGCUGUGUGCAUAGGUGAAUGGGUGCAUUUGUAUGAUGUCUAGUUUGGUGUAAGUGCAUAUCAGAUUAUGGUAUGCAUGAGUGUUGCAGGAUACUUGGGUGCAUGUGUCUCAGUAUGUGUUUUAUUUGGAUUUUUAGUGUGACUGUGUAUUUGAAUAUGUCUUGAGUGACUGUGCAUAUAUAUGCUAGUAUUGGUUAGUACCUGACUGUGCAUAUGUUCAAGUGAACACAUCUGUACAUAGGCAUGUGUUGUCAAACACAGUUAAGGGUAUAUUUUUGAAUAAGCCUGUGUGUAUGCCCAUCUGAAUACACAAAUGUGUGAAGUACCAGUUUUCACAGUUUUUAUUUGCAUUUAUAUGUUUGUAUUUAUCUUUGAUCUAAAGCAUGAUUAUAGAAUAAUGUAUAUAAAUCUAUGUGCAUGCUACUCUUAGUUCACAAGUACAUUUAUGUGGGGGGGCAUUUAUGGAUGUCUUUGCAUAUAUGUAUGUGAUAUGUGGAUCAAAUUUUCUUAUGCAGAUCAACAAGUGUGUGUGCAAGAAUACAUGAGUGUACUUCUAUAUGUGCAUGUGUUAAAAUAUGCCCUUAUGUUCUAUUCCAAUAUACAUAUAAGUUACUCUUCUUUCAUUUUGUGGCUUCUCAGAAUGGGUGUGUGGAUGUAACAGUGUAUAUAUACUUGACUGUGAUAGUGUGCUUUAUGAUUAUCUGUGUUUCCGUAUUUAAUUGUAUACCUAUAAGAAUGAGUUAAUGUAUGUACAAGUCUAUAAGCAUGUGAAUAUGCUAUGUGUGUACAUGACCAGUUGUGUAUUCAAGUCUAUAUGUUAGAAUAUCUGCAUAUGUAUACCUCAUCUCAUUUACAAGCAUUUGCAUAUUUGGGUAUGGAUAUGUGUGAGCACACCUAUACAGAUAUGUAUGUAUGUGUGCAUGUGUGUGUGAAUAUACUUCAGUGGUUAUGUUUGAGGGUAUAUAUAUACACACUUGGGAGAUCCCUCUUCUGUACCCAUGUUUCUUUAUCAUCUCUUUAGAUAUGAUACAUAUAUUUUUACAUAUCUCUGUGGAUAUGUAAAAAUACCUUUACAUACCUGUGUCCCCACUUGUGUUUGUGAGUGAAUGCAUGUCAUUCAUGAGUAUAUAUAUCAUGUGAAUAUAGCCUAUUUUAAAGAGUAAAUGGAUGUACUUGCGGCUACGUCCAAUGGAAAUGUGUCUGUGUGUGGAUAAAUAAAGGUAUUUGUACAUCUGCCUGUCUGAUAUGAGAUUUGGCCUUGGUCUUGUACAGAGUGACCUCUACACAAACUUCUUACCCAAAUACACUCAACUUUCAUCUCGUCCACACCAUAUGCAUGCACCCACACUGCACUGCAGUCUCCACAUGCUCACCAAUGACCACAGGGGGCCGUGAUAAAACUUUGAAACAAAACUCUCCCUUCCUUUCUCACCACUGGCAAAGGCACAGGGCAGGAGGGCAUCAUAAUAGUGCCUAGGGUUAGUAGAAGCUUUGGUUGGAGUGUGUGUGUGUGUGUGUGUGUGUGUGUGUGUGUGUGUGUGUGUGUAAAGGAGAGAAAGCGACAGAUAAUAUGAGAAAGUACAA
Molecule: RNA transcript, 4480 nt
Organism: Arvicanthis niloticus (Nile rat)
Lineage: Eukaryota; Metazoa; Chordata; Mammalia; Rodentia; Muridae
Gene: Gpr173
Gene name: putative G-protein coupled receptor 173
Source: RefSeq, a predicted model, not a curated record